RNAcentral lists this long non-coding RNA (700 nucleotides) under Gossypium barbadense (sea-island cotton). Its description in RNAcentral is "long non-coding RNA (GBAR_LNC017246)". Lineage: Eukaryota; Viridiplantae; Streptophyta; Magnoliopsida; Malvales; Malvaceae. The record is from RNAcentral.
GCACAAAUAUCAAUCAGGACUAAAUUGGAAUGAAAACAGAAAUUCUACGGAAAAUCUGAAAUAAAUAAAAAUGAAAAGGGCCAAAUUGAGUGUGCGAAUAACAAGGAAGGACUAAAGCGGAAAAUAUCCUCACCCUCCAAAACGUAGCACCUUACAUGGGGCAAAUAUGAAAUCAAAGCAAAAUUUAGGAAAAAAUUAGGAAUAAAAGAGAACUUAAUUACAAAACCAUUGAAAGGCGGAAGGACCAGGGUCGUAAAUAACCUAUUUAAUGAAAACAUGCGGAUCCCCAUGAAGCAGGUCGGGUCGCGCACGGGUCGCCCUAUACGGCGUCGUUUUGGCACUGAAGGCACUAACCCAAAAUGGCACCGUUUUCAAUUGCUAUUUAAAUAAAAAACUGUUUCAAAAACAUUUUCAGAAGGAAUAUUUUUUUAAGAAAAAAAAAGGGGCUCUUCUCUGCUAGGGUUUUUUCCUAGCAAUGCGUCACCACGAACAAGGUUUUCCGCCAUGGCUCCGCCACCGACAACCACCGCACACGGAAGUCUAAGCCUCGGAAAUCCCCUUUCUCUGGUGAAUCAAAGGAUGUAUCCUCUUCCUCUCAUUUUAUUUUUCUAUAUAUAUGCGUAUAAAUGGCUAAAAGAAAAAAAAAUUUAGAAAAAAAUCACCUUUUUUUCGAUUUAUUUCUUUGAUCCUUUUUUUGUUU